RNAcentral lists this ribosomal RNA (253 nucleotides) under uncultured bacterium. RNAcentral describes it as "partial 16S ribosomal RNA". It matches the Rfam family "Bacterial small subunit ribosomal RNA", at positions 524 to 776 of the family's 1533-position model. The record is from RNAcentral.
UACGUAGGGGGCAAGCGUUGUCCGGAAUCAUUGGGCGUAAAGAGCGUGUAGGUUGUUCGAUAAGUCUGCUGUGAAAGUCCAGGGCUCAACCCUGGGAUGCCGGUGGAUACUGUCUGACUAGAGUACGGAAGAGGCGAGUGGAAUUCCCGGUGUAGCGGUGAAAUGCGCAGAUAUCAGGAGGAACACCGAUGGCGAAGGCAGGUCUCUGGGCAUUAACUGACGCUGAGGAGCGAAAGCAUGGGGAGCGAACAGG